CGUGAAGAAGGUUGGCUCCGUUGACUCACGUUCACCAAACAAAACACAGACGGUAGGUUGACAUGUCUGCAAUUUAAUGGUUUCUGUGGGGAACAAGUGCUGCAGCGGUGCAGCCCAGGCCCUCUAAAGACAUCUAACUGUUUCUCAACAUCUACACAGCUCAAGGGUGGACACCAUCUGGUGAGAAAUGGCAGAGGGAGGUUUUGACCCUUGUGAGUGCAUCUGCACCCAUGAGUAUGCUAUGAGGCGCCUAAUCAACCUGCUCAGGCAAUCUCAGUCCUACUGCACAGACACAGACUGCCCUCAGGAAUUGCCAGGUCCCAGUGGACCAGUCAGCGGAGGAGGUGACCUGACCCUCCCCAUGGUUCUGAUGGGAUGGGCGGUGCUGGCUCUGCUCCUGUUCCUGUUGCGCCCAUCCAGUCUCAGGGGUUCCCGUCCCACAGGCAAACCUACUGGACCCCACAAUAGCGAUGGAAGAGAGCCUCCAGCACCCCCUAUUGACUAGCAGUGGAGAGUAGCAGCACUCACUCACCUGCUCUGACUGGAGCUGCACAAUGAAACAGUGACUGUGACCAGGACAGCGCCAUCUCCCCUUAAUUCAAAUAUCUUUAGCUUUACUCCUAUUUUAAUGCCAUUGUGUUUUGGGGUAGAUCUGUCUAUUAUUCUUGUUUCUAUAAUUCAACUGCUGCUGGAUUAAUGAGCCCUAAUUAUGCUAUUUCAAAGUUAUAAAACAUUUUUUUUUUAUUUUAAUUUUUACAUAAACAUUCAACAUUUGGGCAAGUAUUGGUUAUUUUUGACAAAGAUAAAGAUUGAGGCAGGAUAUUUUACAGUGAAAAAAUCAGAAACGUUUGUGGGAAAUUUAAUAACCAUACAUGGAAAGACAUUUUUUCCACAAAUACAAAACUUGAAUGAAAGUUAUAAAAAAAUGUUGUUUCGUAUAUCUGCAGACAUCCCAUUUUGACUGAUAAUAUUGGCCGACAAGAUCAGCAUGUUGAUAUAGCAGUACAUGGUAUUCACCAAGUCUUUAAUGAGAAGGCGUGGCAUUGUUGUGAAACCCCGAUCUGAGCCCUGGUGCUGACUGGUCGGCAGUUACAUGAACCCAAAAUGAAGAAAUGUGUCGCAUGUGUUGGUGGAAAAAGGAGUAUUAGUUAUAUUGUUGUUCGAGUUCUUGCUGAGUAAUGAUGAAGGGUGGCGGGUUCUUCGGACUCUCCGAAACAUUCCUCUCUUUCCAAAGUUACAGCUCUAAACGGUGCCAGUAAUGAUGUCAUACCACAUCUUUUAAUAACAUAUUUAAACCAGCAAUGUAAUUAAUUAAAUAAAUUAGAAUUACAAUAACAUGGCAUAUUGAUUUUAAUGCAGUGAUUUCAUCUUAUGUUUACAGCCAGUCCUUUAUAUCGAUUACAUACUCCAGCAAAUAGUCUGAUUUGAACAUGUCUGUCGUUUUAAGUAACUGUUGGUUACUGUAGUAUAAGUGAUUUAAGACCGCAGUGACAGACCUUAUGGGUCUGUUUAUCUGACAGUUAAAUGCUCACGCUUCAAACUUGUAUCCCAUAGUUGAAAUGAACUGAAUUGCAAGCAUACAUAUAGGGUGUAUUACAUGUGGUCAUUGUAAAACAAUAUACUCAGCGCAAGCAUUUAAUCAUAUUGAAAUGAUUCAGUGUACUGUAAUUGUUUUGUAGUUAAAAGAUACAAAUCUGAAUGGUAUACUCAAUUUGUAGCAGAUAAUCAUAUUUUAUUAGCACUUUUGUUGUGAUAUGUUGUUUCCUUAUGAAGGUGUGUUUUACUGAUUCAGCUGUCUAAAUGAGGUGGAGGUGAGGGUCUGUUCUUUUCUUACUGAGAAUCGCAGCAGUGUGUGAAUAAUGGGAGCAAUCUAAAGUUUCUACUUCUGCAACUUCAAACCAUUUUAAAGGAAAGGAGCAAGAAAGGGUGCGUUUUCAAACAGUGCCAAAUGCGAAUUUAAAGUUUUGGUCUCAAUGCAAAUUUAGAGAACAGCUUCUUGAGAAAGAACAGCUAUAGUUGAGCUCAUUUCUUUUUUUAAUUUGAGAUAAGAAGACAAGGAAAUGAUCUGCAGUGGAAGUUUUUGUCAUGUCUCAUUUCCGGGGUUUACACCAGAGGUGUAAUUAGUAAACAGAAAAAUAGAAACCUCUAAUGCAGAACAUUAUAGUGGUGAAUGCCUUUUGUUCCUUAACUAUGUAUGUAAAUGUGGGUGGAUAUUUCAACAGCACCACAAACUACAGCCUCAAAGUUAUAGAAGAGAAUCUACCCUUUGAUACAAUCUCAAGAAAAAUGGAACAUUAUAAUAGGUGGUAUUUUUUUAUAUGUACAUCUAUUGUUGGUUAUUGGAUAGCGGAACAUGGUGGAGGGUUUACGUUUUUUUCAGUCAAUGACCAUAUCUUUGUCGUGCCCCUGUCAUGGCAACAAGGCUAUUGAAGUGUAUCUUGGCCUUGGAUUAUGUUCUAGGGUACUUAUGAUAUCAGAAAAUUACAUGGUUAUGUGUCUUUCUUGAACAUGGUGUAAGAGUUCAGAACCUGGAUAUGAUCUGUAACAACUUUGGGCUGAGUUCAUCCCAACAGUCUUCAGUGGCUAGCUCUUAAUUGCCAUAUCAGUGAAUGUCCUCUAAAUAUUUCUUUCUAGACUUGCUUGGGGGAUGGCAGGGAGGAUAUAUAAGGAAGGAAACAGUUAAGUGAAACCAUAGUUGUAUAUAAGUAAGGGGGAAGCCACGCUAGAUUGUUGAGAUGAACAAGUGAACUAUCUGGUACCACAGGAGACCUUGAUAUGCACUAUUUGUCUAAAAGAAAAAGGGCUUCAACUAUGCACUUUUCCUAUAACAAAACAAAAAAAUAAAAUAAUUCAAUCUUA
Molecule: RNA transcript, 2859 nt
Organism: Sander lucioperca (pikeperch)
Lineage: Eukaryota; Metazoa; Chordata; Actinopteri; Perciformes; Percidae
Gene: smim14
Gene name: small integral membrane protein 14
Exons: 6
Source: RefSeq, a predicted model, not a curated record